GAUUGAACGCUGGCGGCAGGCCUAACCCAUGCAAGUCGACCGGUAACCGGAAACAGCUUGCUGUUUCGCUGACGAGUGGCGGACGGGUGAGUAAUGUCUGGGAAACUGCCUGAUGGAGGGGGAUAACUACUGGAAACGGUAGCUAAUACCGCAUAACGUCGCAAGACCAAAGAGGGGGACCCUCGGGCCUCUUGCCAUCGGAUGUGCCCAGAUGGGAUUAGCUUGUUGGUGGGGUAACGGCUCACCAAGGCGACGAUCCCUAGCUGGUCUGAGAGGAUGACCAGCCACACUGGAACUGAGACACGGUCCAGACUCCUACGGGAGGCAGCAGUGGGGAAUAUUGCACAAUGGGCGCAAGCCUGAUGCAGCCAUGCCGCGUGUAUGAAGAAGGCCUUCGGGUUGUAAAGUACUUUCAGCGGGGAGGAAGGGAGUAAAGUUAAUACCUUUGCUCAUUGACGUUACCCGCAGAAGAAGCACCGGCUAACUCCGUG
RNAcentral lists this ribosomal RNA (491 nucleotides) under uncultured bacterium. Its description in RNAcentral is "partial 16S ribosomal RNA". It matches the Rfam family "Bacterial small subunit ribosomal RNA", at positions 27 to 507 of the family's 1533-position model. The record is from RNAcentral.